UAUCAGUCGAGCGCUGAAACGGGUACAUAUGUUCUAUUAGGGUUAUUUCACCUCUAAGAACCGGCAGUAACCACCAGAGACACGAAAAUAUUUCUUUUCAAAAUUGGAACGUAUAACACACGUUUUAUAAGCGAAUAAGGAACGAAUAAGUAACAGGAUAACAGUGUAGCGCUGAAACGGGUACAUAGGCGCUGAUAGGUUUUUUC
RNAcentral lists this long non-coding RNA (206 nucleotides) under Mytilus galloprovincialis (Mediterranean mussel). The record is from RNAcentral. Lineage: Eukaryota; Metazoa; Mollusca; Bivalvia; Mytilida; Mytilidae.